Molecule: ribosomal RNA, 1385 nt
Filed under: uncultured bacterium
Lineage: Bacteria
Description: bacterial SSU rRNA
Rfam family: Bacterial small subunit ribosomal RNA
Source: RNAcentral
CCUGGCUCAGGAUGAACGCUAGCUACAGGCUUAACACAUGCAAGUCGAGGGGCAGCAUGGUCUUAGCUUGCUAAGGCCGAUGGCGACCGGCGCACGGGUGAGUAACGCGUAUCCAACCUGCCUUACACUCUUGGACAGCCUUCUGAAAGGGAGAUUAAUACAAGAUGUUAUCAUGAGUAAGCAUUUUCGCAUGAUUAAAGGUUUACCGGUGUAAGAUGGGGAUGCGUUCCAUUAGAUAGUAGGCGGGGUAACGGCCCACCUAGUCUUCGAUGGAUAGGGGUUCUGAGAGGAAGGUCCCCCACAUUGGAACUGAGACACGGUCCAAACUCCUACGGGAGGCAGCAGUGAGGAAUAUUGGUCAAUGGACGAGAGUCUGAACCAGCCAAGUAGCGUGAAGGAUGAAGGUUCUAUGGAUUGUAAACUUCUUUUAUACGGGAAUAAACGAAUCCACGUGUGGAUUUUUGCAUGUACCGUAUGAAUAAGGAUCGGCUAACUCCGUGCCAGCAGCCGCGGUAAUACGGAGGAUCCGAGCGUUAUCCGGAUUUAUUGGGUUUAAAGGGAGCGUAGAUGGGUUGUUAAGUCAGUUGUGAAAGUUUGCGGCUCAACCGUAAAAUUGCAAUUGAUACUGGCAGUCUUGAGUACAGUUGAGGUAGGCGGAAUUCGUGGUGUAGCGGUGAAAUGCUUAGAUAUCACGAAGAACUCCGAUUGCGAAGGCAGCUUACUAACCUGUAACUGACAUUGAUGCUCGAAAGUGUGGGUAUCAAACAGGAUUAGAUACCCUGGUAGUCCACACGGUAAACGAUGAAUACUCGCUGUAGGCGAUAUACAGUCUGCGGCCAAGCGAAAGCAUUAAGUAUUCCACCUGGGGAGUACGCCGGCAACGGUGAAACUCAAAGGAAUUGACGGGGGCCCGCACAAGCGGAGGAACAUGUGGUUUAAUUCGAUGAUACGCGAGGAACCUUACCCGGGCUUAAAUUGCAACCGAAUAUGGCGGAAACGCUAUAGCUAGCAAUAGCGGUUGUGAAGGUGCUGCAUGGUUGUCGUCAGCUCGUGCCGUGAGGUGUCGGCUUAAGUGCCAUAACGAGCGCAACCCUUGCCGAUAGUUACUAACAGGUUAUGCUGAGGACUCUGUCGGGACUGCCAUCGUAAGAUGUGAGGAAGGUGGGGAUGACGUCAAAUCAGCACGGCCCUUACGUCCGGGGCUACACACGUGUUACAAUGGGGGGUACAGAGGGCUGCUACCACGCAAGUGGAUGCCAAUCCCAAAAACCUCUCUCAGUUCGGAUUGAAGUCUGCAACCCGACUUCAUGAAGCUGGAUUCGCUAGUAAUCGCGCAUCAGCCACGGCGCGGUGAAUACGUUCCAGGGCCUUGUACACACCGCCCG